CCUGAUAAUUUGGCCACUGAAACGGCUCCCCCGCCUUAACUUCUCCUGCCCGUGCUUUGACCGCGGGAUCUACAAAAGGAUCUGAAAUUUAGAUUUAAACCAAAGAACAAGAAAAAAAAACACAAAGAACUAAAAUUUCUCCGAUAACGAUAUCAAGCAAAUGCAUCGAAGGGAAGAAGAAAGAGAAAGAGGGGUCCCGGCAAACCCGUUACAAAGGAGGAAUUCGGAAUCCAAAAGAAACGAGGAGGAACCCAAACCCCAACAAAAUCCGAGGGGCCAAACUAAUUAAAAACCUCACGCCACCCGUAGAAAGGGAGAUCCCGACGGAAAACCUAACCCUAAUACAAAAACUUUAGAACAGGAAUUAGAAAGAAAAGAACGUACUCGGCCGCGGACGUUUGGAUCGGACAUGCGAGAAAGAGAGGGCAACGAUCUGGGAUAAAGGCGAUGCAAGUUU
This 457-nucleotide long non-coding RNA is filed under the name Phoenix dactylifera (date palm). Its description in RNAcentral is "long non-coding RNA (PDAC_LNC016988)". Lineage: Eukaryota; Viridiplantae; Streptophyta; Magnoliopsida; Arecales; Arecaceae. The record is from RNAcentral.